Molecule: ribosomal RNA, 253 nt
Filed under: uncultured bacterium
Lineage: Bacteria
Description: partial 16S ribosomal RNA
Rfam family: Bacterial small subunit ribosomal RNA
Source: RNAcentral
UACGGAGGGGACUAGCGUUGUUCGGAAUUACUGGGCGUAAAGCGCACGUAGGCGGAUUUGUAAGUCAGGGGUGAAAUCCCGGGGCUCAACCUCGGAACUGCCUUUGAUACUGCAAAUCUCGAGUCCGGAAGAGGUGAGUGGAAUUCCUAGUGUAGAGGUGAAAUUCGUAGAUAUUGGGAAGAACACCGGUGGCGAAGGCGGCUCACUGGCUCGUUUCUGACGCUCAGGCGCGAUAGCGUGGGGAUCAAACAGG